UACAGAGGGUGCGAGCGUUAAUCGGAAUUACUGGGCGUAAAGCGCGCGUAGGCGGCUUUGCAAGUCGGGUGUGAAAUCCCCAGGCCUAACCUGGGAACUGCACUCGAGACUGCAUGGCUAGAGUAUCGGAGAGGGGAAGUGGAAUUUCAGGUGUAGCGGUGAAAUGCGUAGAUAUCUGAAGGAACAUCAGUGACGAAAGCGACUUCCUGGACGAAUACUGACGCUCAUGUGCGAAAGCGUGGGGAGCAAACAGG
This 254-nucleotide ribosomal RNA is filed under the name uncultured bacterium. Its description in RNAcentral is "partial 16S ribosomal RNA". It matches the Rfam family "Bacterial small subunit ribosomal RNA", at positions 524 to 776 of the family's 1533-position model. The record is from RNAcentral.